AAUGGGGGAAACCCUGAUGCAGCAACGCCGCGUGAGCGAUGAAGGCCUUCGGAUUGUAAACUGUUGUCGCAAGGGAAGAAGACAGUGACGGUACCUUGUGAGAAAGUCACGGCUAACUACGUGCCAGCAGCCGCGGUAAUACGUAGGUGACAAGCGUUGUCCGGAUUUACUGGGUGUAAAGGGCGCGUAGGCGGACUGUCAAGUCAGUCGUGAAAUACCGGGGCUUAACCCCGGGGCUGCGAUUGAAACUGACAGCCUUGAGUAUCGGAGAGGAAAGCGGAAUUCCUAGUGUAGCGGUGAAAUGCGUAGAUAUUAGGAGGAACACCAGUGGCGAAGGCGGCUUUCUGGACGACAACUGACGCUGAGGCGCGAAAGUGUGGGGAGCAAA
This 388-nucleotide ribosomal RNA is filed under the name uncultured bacterium. RNAcentral describes it as "bacterial SSU rRNA". It matches the Rfam family "Bacterial small subunit ribosomal RNA", at positions 370 to 772 of the family's 1533-position model. The record is from RNAcentral.